RNAcentral lists this ribosomal RNA (253 nucleotides) under uncultured bacterium. RNAcentral describes it as "partial 16S ribosomal RNA". It matches the Rfam family "Bacterial small subunit ribosomal RNA", at positions 524 to 776 of the family's 1533-position model. The record is from RNAcentral.
GACGUAGGGCGCGAGCGUUGUCCGGAAUUAUUGGGCGUAAAGAGCUCGUAGGCGGCUUGUCGCGUCGGAUGUGAAAGCCCGGGGCUUAACCCCGGGUCUGCAUUCGAUACGGGCAGGCUAGAGUUCGGUAGGGGAGAUCGGAAUUCCUGGUGUAGCGGUGAAAUGCGCAGAUAUCAGGAGGAACACCGGUGGCGAAGGCGGAUCUCUGGGCCGAUACUGACGCUGAGGAGCGAAAGCGUGGGGAGCGAACAGG